CCUACGGGCGGCAGCAGUGGGGAAUAUUGGGCAAUGGGCGCAAGCCUGACCCAGCAACGCCGCGUGAAGGAAGAAGGCUUUCGGGUUGUAAACUUCUUUUCUCAGGGACGAAGCAAGUGACGGUACCUGAGGACUAAGCCACGGCUAACUACGUGCCAGCAGCCGCGGUAAUACGUAGGUGGCAAGCGUUAUCCGGAUUUACUGGGUGUAAAGGGCGUGUAGGCGGGAAAGCAAGUCAGAUGUGAAAACCAUGGGCUCAACCUGUGGCCUGCAUUUGAAACUGUUUUUCUUGAGUACUGGAGAGGCAGACGGAAUUCCUAGUGUAGCGGUGAAAUGCGUAGAUAUUAGGAGGAACACCAGUGGCGAAGGCGGUCUGCUGGACAGCAACUGACGCUGAGGCGCGAAAGCGUGGGGAGCAAACAGGAUUAGAUACCCUGGUAGUC
RNAcentral lists this ribosomal RNA (443 nucleotides) under uncultured bacterium. Its description in RNAcentral is "partial 16S ribosomal RNA". It matches the Rfam family "Bacterial small subunit ribosomal RNA", at positions 338 to 795 of the family's 1533-position model. The record is from RNAcentral.